UCGGAGCCAAUCAGCGGGCCCAAGGAGAGGCACAGGCGCAUGGGGCGAGUCGGGGCUCCGCUUCCGGCGUCAGGGUCUGGGGAAGGGGCGCAGGCGCCAUGUCCGGCCGUGAGGGUGGCAAGAAGAAGCCCCUGAAGCAGCCCAAGAAGCAGGCGAAGGAGAUGGACGAGGAGGACAAGGCGUUCAGGCAGAAGCAGAAGGAGGAGCAGAAGAAACUCGAGGAGCUGAAAGCGAAGGCCGCGGGGAAGGGCCCCCUGGCCACAGGUGGAAUUAAGAAAUCUGGCAGAAAGUAAGCUGUUCCUUGUGCCUGAGGCAAUGGUGAUCUUUAAUUCCAUUCCUGUUUAAACAUGUGGAUUCCCUGCCAUACCAUCUGUUGCCACCUGUAGCUAGAAUGAAUUAUUGUCUUGGGCCUGUUGUACAUUUAAUAAAGUAAAAAAAAAUUAUUUUUUUAAGUUAUACAGUGGUUUUCUCUUCUCUCAAGAGUAGUUCUUCUCACUCAGCCAUUUCUACUUUAGCUGUAAGAUCAGAGUAAAUGCAGACCAGCAUUCUAACGAAGUGUGCUCUUGUCUUUAUUCUAUCCCAAAUUCUGUACCACCUGAAAUUAAACCAACUCUUGAAAUGACCGUUGUUUUUGUGUAGUUGUACCCAAUGGAAUACAUUACAGGAGGUUAGUGGAAAUAAAACCCAUCUUUCUUUGUUAUGACAUCCACAUUGUCAUUUGUGGUAAUAGGGUUCAUCUAUCAUAUGAGGUGUCUGCUACGUGCAGGUGGGGGCCUGUUACCAGCAAACAAUUGUGUUGUCAGGGAACUUAUGUAUUGCGGGAGGGGAGCAGGACAAAUACAUAAGGUGUGUGCUAUAAAGGGAAGACUAGGGAAAGGAGAGAUUCCUGAAAGUCAGAACCACUAGGGUUUCAAAAAGGUUCCUGCUAGGUUCACAUGUACACCCUACGUCCAUCCCAUCAGCAACAUUAAAUCUGACCCCUGCUUUCUUCCUCCAAGGCCACCCCUCCCUCUAUUCUCACCCUAAAAUCCCCACCCUGGGUUGCCACAGUCAGUCUUCCUGCCCUUGCUCCCUACAAUAGAAUCUUCACUCAGGACCCAGAAUGUUCUUGCUAAACUGGAAAGUCAUAGUUUUGUCUCCUUGGCUCAGAAUACUUGAGUGGCUUCUCACAGCAAAAGCCAGAGUCCCAGCAAUGCCACUGAGGCCCUAACAUCUGGAUGCCACUCCCUAAUAGCUACUGUUCAUCCCCGUGACCCAUCUUGAGCCACAGUGGUAUACAUAGCCGGCAAGCUCCUGCCUCACUGUUGUCACCAGCUUGCUUCUGCCUGUCCCUCUUCUGGGUGCUGGAAGCCACUUCCCUUGAGAAAGCCGGUACAUACAGCACAGCAGGGAGCUGCUCCCUGACUGCGCUAUGGACAGUGGUAGUCCCAAAGUCUUACUAGUUUCAUUUUGUUCUGGUGUCUGCCAAUUAUCUACUAUCCUUUAUUCCAGGAGUAAAUGACGAGAGAGACCAUCCAUGUGUACUAAAUGCGGUCAGACACCCGCAGCAAUUAAGCAUUCAACAUUUGGGCCCCUAUCUGAGCAACCCUACCAGUCGCCUCAACAGUAAACUCAGGUGUUGAAGACCUA
Long non-coding RNA from Manis javanica (Malayan pangolin), 1629 nucleotides. RefSeq lists it as uncharacterized. The record is from RefSeq and is a predicted model, not a curated record. NCBI's taxonomy places the organism in Eukaryota, Metazoa, Chordata, Mammalia, Pholidota, Manidae.